Molecule: ribosomal RNA, 253 nt
Filed under: uncultured bacterium
Lineage: Bacteria
Description: partial 16S ribosomal RNA
Rfam family: Bacterial small subunit ribosomal RNA
Source: RNAcentral
GACGGAGGGGGCUAGCGUUGUUCGGAAUUACUGGGCGUAAAGAGUGCGUAGGUGGUUUAGUAAGUUGGAAGUGAAAGCCCUGGGCUUAACCUCGGAAUAGCUUUCAAAACUACUAAUCUAGAGUGUAGUAGGGGAUGAUGGAAUUCCUAGUGUAGAGGUGAAAUUCUUAGAUAUUAGGAGGAACACCGGUGGCGAAGGCGGUCAUCUGGGCUACAACUGACACUGAUGCACGAAAGCGUGGGGAGCAAACAGG